CUGCUGGUUUCCUCCACCUCCCCUGGGACCACGGGGGCCUUUGCCUCCAACAGAGUGAGGCAGGGAGGACAGUCAGAGGGAGGAGGAUGGAGAGAGAGAGUCACGAAGAGAGGGAGAUGGGGAGAGAGAGGCAGGAUGGGAAGCGGGGACUGGACAGGAGCCCGAGGCUGGGAGGGCGCACUAGUGGGGAGCCCGGGGGAGCCAGGGUGUCGUCUGGGUCUCAGCCAUCGAAUGAUGCUACUGGCUAGGAAUGCCUGAGACACUCGCCUGGGCCCCCCAGCCGUUCCGCCGCCACCAAUGGGGCCAGCGUUGUGGUCGCACUGGCCUUCGUGGGUUAUGACUGUGGGAUGUGCCUCAGUGAAAACCGUCAGGGAACUCUGAAGAACAAGAUUUAUUACUGACAGUUCCUGGAGGGUCAACGGCACGCCCCGAGGGCCACACAACGGGUGUGCCACACAGCGAGGUCGCAGGCCGAGGCUGAGGCUCAGAGAGGGGAAGCCACCAGCCCCAGAUGGCCCAGCGAGGGAAGGAAGGAGCCCUGUCCAUGAACGAUGUAGCUCAAGGAGAAGCGGAGGUGACAGGUGCACAGAGAUGGAGACAGAGACACAGACGCAGACAGAUCUUACAGAGCUCGAACGUGGAGUCCAUGGCCCAGUACAGCUGCAGCUGCUCCUGGCAGCUGGUGACGAAGCCCACUGUGAGAGGGGCGACCGCCCACGGCCACAGGGAGGCCCGGAGAGCCACAGACCAGGGCUGUGGGCAGGUCUGAGCACCAGGCUCCAGGGCAGCCGAGGAGGCUCUGCACCCUCUGGGUCUCCCAUCCAGGUCAGACUUGCACCUUCAAACCAACAGUGGGGUCCCAAGUCCCUUAGGGGGGUGGCUCUGCCUGGUCUGGACCCGCGUGCGGUUGUCCCACAAACACACUGUGUGACCUGGGCUGGCCUCAGUUUUCCCUUCUGUAAAAUCACACCAGAGACGGGCAGUGAGGAUUAACUAACUACCACAGAGCUCGUAACAACGCGCAGCGGCCCUCCUCCACGGCCAGACGCCUGACGAGAGGGCACUGCCAUGCUCCGCUUUGGACCCGGAACGCCGCCUGCCUCACGGAGGGAUGGGGAGAGCUCACGGAGGGGUGGGGAGAGCUGGGUGUCCCUUCCCUCUGAGAGAUUGAAGAUGUUCACACUUACUCUGGAAUCCUCUCCAAUGAGCUAUGACCUGGAACUCCGGACAGCAUAGCGGGUAAGGGCCCAUAUUCUGAGCCUGGCUGCCUGGCUUCAAAACCCAGCUCGUUAGCUCAGCAGCUGUGUGACCUGGGCAAGUGUCUCUGUGCCUCAGUUUCCUCAGCGGUCAAAUAGGGAGAUAAUAAUAUAUGCGUGCAUAUGUAAAUUUACCCAGGCACUAAAAUUUACUCGUAAUCCCAAAAUCAACAGCCGUGGCACUUUUGUGGUCAUCGGUGGACAUGCGCACAGUGGCAACAAAUUUGAGUCACCCCACAGGCAUAGCCCCAGGUGAGGCUGAACAAGGCGACAGCUCGUUCCAACUCUCGUGCUGUAAACCAGUGUCCUUUUCACAGUCUAUUCAAUGUCACGUUUCUUGCAGUUCUGUGCUUUCUCUUGGUGAUUUCGCUAUUUAAAAUGCCUCCUAGGCCCAGGGCUGAUGCACCGUCUAGCAUUCCUAGCCACAGGAAGGCUGCAGUGUGCCUUACGGAGAAAAUACGUGAGUUACAGAAGCUUCGUUCAGGCAUGAGUUAUGUGCUGUUGACCGUGUGUUCAAAGUUAAUGAUAUAAUGAUACAUAUUACGUGAGGUUUUUC
Long non-coding RNA from Pteropus alecto (black flying fox), 1812 nucleotides. RefSeq lists it as uncharacterized. The record is from RefSeq and is a predicted model, not a curated record. NCBI's taxonomy places the organism in Eukaryota, Metazoa, Chordata, Mammalia, Chiroptera, Pteropodidae. The transcript has 4 exons.